AANGGCACNNGNNNUCAACNCUANCAAACGCUAUAUACCNGNGANGGCAUGACNGCNANUGCNNNAACNCGACNACGGUGAAGUAGGAAUCGCUAGUAAUCGCAGGUCAGCAUACUGCGGUGAAUACGUUCCCGGGCCUUGUACACACCGCCCGUCACACCAUGGAAGUUGGCCAUGCCCGAAGUCGUUACUCCAACCCUUGUGGAGGAGGACGCCGAAGGUGGGGCUAAUGACUGGGGUGAAGUCGUAACAAGGUAGCCGUACCGGAAGGUGCGGCUGGAUCACCUCCUAACAGGGAGACAACAAAAUGUAAAUAUUAAUUUUGUCACCUUAGGUCGAUCGGUAUCUCAGAUUCUUAUUAUUUAAGAAUUUCAGUUUCUAAGUUUUUUCUAGGUCACACCCAUCACUUUUUCCUGGGCCAUUAGCUCAGGUGGUUAGAGCGCACCCCUGAUAAGGGUGAGGUCCCUGGUUCAAGUCCAGGAUGGCCCAUAUCUCUAUGUUGGGGGUAUAGCUCAGUUGGUAGAGCGCCUGCUUUGCAAGCAGGAUGUCAGCGGUUCGAGUCCGCUUACCUCCACUGAAUACCACCUCUUACAUAUAGUUGAAGUGGGAAAUUGUUUUGAGUCGUGUCCUAAUUUGCUCUGAGCGAAUCUAGCUUCCUAUUUUAUCCAAGAAAUAAGAUGCUGGACUCAUUGAAUUUUUUUUCAUUGUUUUCAGAGAACCUUGACAACUGCAUAGAUUAUUUUUAAAGACAAUAAGCAUCUUUAAUGAUGCAGAUUUAUUAUUUGUGCGAAUGCAUUAAAUAACAAUUCUAUUAAGCUGAUGCUUCAAUUAUUGAAGUUAUUGGUCAAGCUACAAAGGGCUCACGGAGGAUACCUAGGCACACAGAGGCGAUGAAGGACGUGGUUACCUGCGAUAAGUCUCGGGGAGUUGGAAGCACACUUUGAUCCGGGAAUUUCCGAAUGGGGCAACCCCUUGUACGGCCAACUGAAUAUAUAGGUUGGUGCGAGCUAACCCAGCGAACUGAAACAUCUUA
Molecule: unclassified non-coding RNA, 1033 nt
Filed under: uncultured Prochlorococcus sp.
Lineage: Bacteria; Bacillati; Cyanobacteriota; Cyanophyceae; Synechococcales; Prochlorococcaceae
Description: partial contains 16S ribosomal RNA, 16S-23S ribosomal RNA intergenic spacer, tRNA-Ile, tRNA-Ala, and 23S ribosomal RNA
Rfam family: Bacterial small subunit ribosomal RNA (bases 1-292)
Source: RNAcentral